GGUUGAUAAAAUCUAAAUUUUUAACGAUGGAUGUCUAGGUUCCCAUAUCGAUGAAGAACGCAGCGAAAAUGCGAUAUGCAUUGUGAAUUGCAGAACCACGAAUCAUCAGAUAUUUGAAUGUAACUAACGCUGGCCAAACCAGCAUGUUUGGUUCAGUGUGCUCA
This 164-nucleotide ribosomal RNA is filed under the name uncultured freshwater alveolate. Its description in RNAcentral is "5.8S ribosomal RNA". The stretch from base 16 to 161 matches the Rfam family "5.8S ribosomal RNA". Rfam says of the family: 5.8S ribosomal RNA (5.8S rRNA) is a component of the large subunit of the eukaryotic ribosome. It is transcribed by RNA polymerase I as part of the 45S precursor that also contains 18S and 28S rRNA. The record is from RNAcentral.